Molecule: ribosomal RNA, 228 nt
Filed under: uncultured bacterium
Lineage: Bacteria
Description: partial 16S ribosomal RNA
Rfam family: Bacterial small subunit ribosomal RNA
Source: RNAcentral
CGUGCAGGCGGCCUAUUAAGUCAGAUGUGAAAGCCCUCGGCUCAACCAAGGAACUGCAUUUGAAACUAGUAGGCUUGAGUACGGGAGAGGAGAGUGGAAUUCCCGGUGUAGAGGUGAAAUUCGUAGAUAUCGGGAAGAACACCGGUGGCGAAGGCGGCUCUCUGGACCGAUACUGACGCUGAGACGCGAAAGCGUGGGGAGCAAACAGGAUUAGAUACCCUGGUAUCC